RNAcentral lists this ribosomal RNA (253 nucleotides) under uncultured bacterium. RNAcentral's name for it is "partial 16S ribosomal RNA". It matches the Rfam family "Bacterial small subunit ribosomal RNA", at positions 524 to 776 of the family's 1533-position model. The record is from RNAcentral.
UACAGAGGGUGCAAGCGUUGUUCGGAAUUACUGGGCGUAAAGCGCGUGUAGGUGGCGAUGUAAGUCGGGUGUGAAAUCCCUCAGCUUAACUGAGGAAGUGCACUCGAUACUGCGUAGCUUGAGUCUCGGAGAGGUUGGUGGAGUUCUCGGUGUAGAGGUGAAAUUCGUAGAUAUCGAGAGGAACACCGGUGGCGAAGGCGGCCAACUGGACGAAGACUGACGCUGAGACACGAAAGCGUGGGGAGCAAACAGG